Daphnia carinata is the source of this 675-nucleotide long non-coding RNA. RefSeq lists it as uncharacterized. The record is from RefSeq and is a predicted model, not a curated record. The transcript has 5 exons. Lineage: Eukaryota; Metazoa; Arthropoda; Branchiopoda; Diplostraca; Daphniidae.
CUUCAACGACCUUUCAUGUACUGAACUACAGGCGUCUGCAAAAUUCCAUUCAGUGUGGAACGAAGAAAGUGCUCGUGUUCGAGAUUGUCUUCAGUUGACCCCUAGAAUCCCCUAAUCCAAGUGAUUUUUGUCGUGCCUGAAAUAAUGAAUGGAAAAAGGGUGUCAAAUCAGGCUUCAUCUCCACUCAGUGACAUGGACGGUGAAGAAUACCUUUUUUUGGGAAAAUUCUUGGUCUGAGGAGAAGGAUGUUGAAGUUAGGCAUUUGCUGAUAUGGAUUGGUGUUUCAAACAAGGACAAAACUUGGGAGCCCAAGAAAAUCUUUAUUUUAAUAAUUUGAUUGCAGCAUUCGAAAGCAAAUGUCUACUGUUGAAUGAGAAUCCUGAAAACAAGCUAAGCCAAGAGAAGAAAAUUGUGGAGAAAAAAGAACUAAAGCCCAGUUUUCUCCGUGUCAUUAUGAAUGUCCAGUCUUCCAACAGGAUUUGAUCGAAAUGUAGCGGCGGAGACAAUUUUAGGAAUGAGCGAUGGUGGUGACGCAACGACAUAGAUAAUUGGUGUAGUAAUUUGUUUCAAAUUCUUAACUAUUUUUAAUGAUGUGGCAUUUAUAAUGACAUGCAGAAAACUAUCUUCCAACAGCAAUUUGAAAGAUAUAUAAUUAAAAAAAUAAUUUUAGCAGUG